UCCUUGCCUCUGGGAUGGUAGCUUGCUUC
This 29-nucleotide non-coding RNA is filed under the name Homo sapiens (human). Lineage: Eukaryota; Metazoa; Chordata; Mammalia; Primates; Hominidae. The record is from RNAcentral.